Molecule: ribosomal RNA, 421 nt
Filed under: uncultured bacterium
Lineage: Bacteria
Description: bacterial SSU rRNA
Rfam family: Bacterial small subunit ribosomal RNA
Source: RNAcentral
GAGUUUGAUCCUGGCUCAGGAUUAACGCUGGCGGCGUGCCUAAUACAUGCAAGUCGAACGGAAGUACCUUCGGGUACUUUAGUGGCGAACGGGUGAGUAAUACAUAGGUAACCUACCCUUAAGACGAGGAUAGCCAUUGGAAACGAUGGAUAAAACUGGAUAGGAUAUAGAGGAAGAAUCUUUUAUAUUUAAAAGAGAGAUCUGCUUAAGGAGGGGCCUGUGGCGCAUUAGCUAGUUGGUGGGGUAAGGGCCUACCAAGGCGAUGAUGCGUAGCCGGACUGAGAGGUUGAACGGCCACAAUGGAACUGAGAACGGUCCAUACUCCUACGGGAGGCAGCAGUAGGGAAUUUUCGGCAAUGGGGGGAACCCUGACCGAGCAACGCCGCGUGAACGAAGAAGUUAUUCGUAAUGUAAAGUUCUU